Molecule: long non-coding RNA, 620 nt
Filed under: Malus domestica (apple)
Lineage: Eukaryota; Viridiplantae; Streptophyta; Magnoliopsida; Rosales; Rosaceae
Description: long non-coding RNA (MDOM_LNC008763)
Source: RNAcentral
AGAAGGCUGCCGAGACUGCCGAGAAAACAAAAGACACGACUUAUGAGACUGCAGAGAAAGCGAAGGUAUAAUUACUAAUUCUUGAUUGAUACAUGUACGUUCAUAUAAACAAACAACAUUAGAUUUAUCAUCAUGUAACAAUCUUUUUUGUGUUUUGUAGGAGAAACUGAGUGAGACUGAGGAGGAAGCGAGGAGAAAGAUGGAGCAGUUGAAGUUGCAAGGAAAAGAGUACAAAGAUGAAGAUGCUGACAGGGCACGUGAGGCACGUGACAUCGAGGCCGAGAAAGGGCAGGCAGCGAAGGAAAACAUAUUCAGCUCGAUUGGGAGCAUUCCUGGUGCCAUCAAAAGCAAGUUGACUCAUCCUACGGAUGUGGUGGAGGAGUCACGUGCCGCACGUGAGAGAGGGAGUACGGGGAGAAGGACCGUUCCUGUUGUGGAGGGGGUGGAGGUUGAUGUGGCGGAGACGAGGCCUGGUGCCGUUGCAAGCAAGUUGUACGAGUCGGACCAGAUGCAUGGUCAAAACUUCAACGACGUGGGUCGUUUGGACGAGGAUUGUAAAACGCAAGCGGAGAUCCGCAUUGAUAACGAGGGCAAACGCGUGGAGCGCCUCCACAAAAUGU